GAAGUUAGAACGAACCAGAUUGUAGGACAGGAAAGGUGAAGAUCCGGGUAGAAGAAGUUCCAGAUCUCCAUAUUGCAUUGUGAGUAUGCACUUCGAAGAAACUGCAGAGACGCAGAUUACUUCGCAGCAGGUCUAGGACCUGUCCAUAACUUGUCCAUGCCUGUCUGGCCCGGGCAGAGCCAUGCAAUAUCUCAGAAUUAGGUAUUAUGCGAUAUGGUUAAAUUAGUAAGGAGUUAUAAGAGCACGAGGCGUACUGUUCGAAAUUCGGGAAGCUAAUGGCGUCGUAGCUUCGAGACGCUUCGAGACGCUUCGAGACUCCCAGCAUGCAUUGCUGGUGGGGCUCGCCGCAUGGUGGCGUUCCAGUCGAACUCGUUUAACUUUUACCUAACCGCCUCUUUCGCGCGUUCCACCGUGUUGUAAAAAGCUGAACGAACGCAAUAAAAACGAUCGCAACUGCUUCAGAUGGAAUAAUCUCGAAGCUUAGAACGCAGAUCGUCGACAUUGAAAAAACCAAUCAAUCGCAAAAAUGAUGGGGUUAUCUGACGAAUCCGGAGAAAUUCACUCAUAUUCACCAAUCCCUACACGGUGCCGGAGGAUGGAGAGGUAAUUACAACCAUCGAGCCAGAUUAUUGUGAGUAUUAUUAUUACCAUUUUUUCUCUCAUAAACCGCAAGUUUUUAAUACCUCGCCCAACGAAGAGAGUUCGCUGUCCGCUACGGGUGAGAGAAAAAUAAUAUUUUUGAAACAAAAUCUUGUAUCCCACAAGUUUUUUGCAAAUGCAAAAAUAUAAUAAAGUAAAUUCAUUGCAUACGAGCGUUAGUGCAGUAAAGGAAGGCAAAAUAUGCGUUCUCCGAGGGUGUCGUUCUCAAAGAAUAAUAAUAGCAGUAAAAAAAAAAUAAUCAAAAAAUCGGAGGACAUCAAAAGCACCGCAAUAUUUUCAUCGCAUUAACGGGGUAAAGUAUUAGCCAAUAAUGUCGGCGCCUAUAGUGGCGUGUCCAACGUCGACUUACCCAGCUGUUGCUGUAAAAGCAACACCUUGUUCACCUCAGCUCAUAUCCCUACACAACUCGUUUAAGGUAGAAGAUAGGGAAGAGAAUUAUGAAUGCGAAGGAGAACCUCAAACAAAAAUAAACAAACUGAAGACCAAAAAAAUAAAGAAGACUCGUUUACUUUGGAUAAUUUGCAUACCAUAUCUUGCAGCCAACGAGGAACGUAUGCAUAUAACUAGGUAUAAUUCAACCGGCUAAUUAAACAGGUACCGAACGUAUUUUAAUUACGACAUGGCAAGGAUCUACAAUAUUAUUACUCGAGGUGCCGGCGUGCGACUUUCCAACCACACAGGGCUCAUCUUCUUCGUCAUCAUCAUCGUAUCUCUACCAAUUGAAUUACCCUCAGUACACGGCAGGAAGUGCGUGUGCACAAGCAAGUCAUGCCUGGAGGCAGGCACGGACACCCGCAGGACGCGUUUCUCCUGUUACACAGAACUCAUCCUGAUCGACGAGGGACAAGGGAACACUACAACCCGGGGCUGCGCCGAGUAAAAAAUUUUUUCCUCCCGCUCUUUUACUUUCUUUUUUUUUUAUGUAUAUAUAAUUUAUUUAUUUAUUUUUUGCGAUAUUUCGCGCCCGUUAAGCCAGCAAUGCAACGUAUGUACCGGUGUAAGUCCAAUUUACUUGUAAUAUGUAUAAAGUAGGAAAUUAUGAGGAUCUUGAGGAAAAUGGGUAAUAUGAACGACAGUAAUAACAACGAUAAAUGAAAAUAAGAUCUGCCUGUGGAUACACAGUUCUGCCUGUGGAUUUGGUUGACAAUGCAUAGUUAUAGGUAUACAAGUAGGUAUACGUAACGUAUACAAUCACUGUGCAGGAGGAUCGAGUUCACCGAACUCAAUACGUAUACGCUAUACAUCUAUAUAAAGUAACUAACUAAGAGAAUCCAUGAACGUAUAUAUUUAUUUGUAUGUAUGUACGUAAGACUUAUUAUAUAUAUAAAUACCUACAUACCUAUGUACGUGCGUAAAACGCGGUAUACAAAAGAUGCGGCUAAGAAA
This is a long non-coding RNA of Athalia rosae (coleseed sawfly), 2046 nucleotides long. RefSeq lists it as uncharacterized. The transcript has 4 exons. NCBI's taxonomy places the organism in Eukaryota, Metazoa, Arthropoda, Insecta, Hymenoptera, Athaliidae. The record is from RefSeq and is a predicted model, not a curated record.